This 253-nucleotide ribosomal RNA is filed under the name uncultured bacterium. RNAcentral describes it as "partial 16S ribosomal RNA". It matches the Rfam family "Bacterial small subunit ribosomal RNA", at positions 524 to 776 of the family's 1533-position model. The record is from RNAcentral.
UACAGAGGUCUCAAGCGUUGUUCGGAUUCAUUGGGCGUAAAGGGUGCGUAGGUGGCGCGCUAAGUCAGGUGUGAAAUUUCGGAGCUUAACUCCGAAACUGCAUUUGAUACUGGCGUGCUUGAGGACUGGAGAGGAGACUGGAAUUCACGGUGUAGCAGUGAAAUGCGUAGAUAUCUGGAGGAAUACCGGUGGCGAAGGCGGCAUCCUGGACCAUUACUGACGCUGAGGCGCGAAAGCUAGGGGAGCAAACGGG